CUUUGCUUGUAUUUCACGCAAUGAGAGUGCCCAAUCUUGUCUGAUAUUGGAAGCUAAGAAGUGCUGGCCCUGGUUAGCACUGGAUGUGAAACCACUGGGAAUACCAGAUGUCACAGUGGAGA
Molecule: ribosomal RNA, 122 nt
Filed under: Periophthalmus magnuspinnatus
Lineage: Eukaryota; Metazoa; Chordata; Actinopteri; Gobiiformes; Gobiidae
Source: RNAcentral